RNAcentral lists this ribosomal RNA (694 nucleotides) under uncultured Azospira sp. Its description in RNAcentral is "bacterial SSU rRNA". It matches the Rfam family "Bacterial small subunit ribosomal RNA", at positions 28 to 715 of the family's 1533-position model. Lineage: Bacteria; Pseudomonadati; Pseudomonadota; Betaproteobacteria; Rhodocyclales; Rhodocyclaceae. The record is from RNAcentral.
AUUGAACGCUGGCGGCAUGCCUUACACAUGCAAGUCGAACGGCAGCACGGGAGCUUGCUCCUGGUGGCGAGUGGCGAACGGGUGAGUAAUACAUCGGAACGUACCCAGGAGUGGGGGAUAACGUAGCGAAAGUUACGCUAAUACCGCAUAUUCUGUGAGCAGGAAAGCGGAGGAUCGCAAGACCUCGCGCUCUUGGAGCGGCCGAUGUCGGAUUAGCUAGUUGGUGAGGUAAAAGCUCACCAAGGCGACGAUCCGUAGCAGGUGUGAGAGGAUGAUCUGCCACACUGGGACUGAGACACGGCCUAGACUCCUACGGGAGGCAGCAGUGGGGAAUUUUGGACAAUGGGGGCAACCCUGAUCCAGCCAUGCCGCGUGAGUGAAGAAGGCCUUCGGGUUGUAAAGCUCUUUCGGCGGGGAAGAAAUGGCAACGGCUAAUAUCCGUUGUUGAUGACGGUACCCGCAUAAGAAGCACCGGCUAACUACGUGCCAGCAGCCGCGGUAAUACGUAGGGUGCGAGCGUUAAUCGGAAUUACUGGGCGUAAAGCGUGCGCAGGCGGUUUCGUAAGACAGACGUGAAAUCCCCGGGCUCAACCUGGGAACUGCGUUUGUGACUGCGAGGCUAGAGUACGGCAGAGGGGGGUAGAAUUCCACGUGUAGCAGUGAAAUGCGUAGAGAUGUGGAGGAAUACCGAUGG